Long non-coding RNA from Athene cunicularia (burrowing owl), 1190 nucleotides. RefSeq lists it as uncharacterized. NCBI's taxonomy places the organism in Eukaryota, Metazoa, Chordata, Aves, Strigiformes, Strigidae. The transcript is spliced from 3 exons. The record is from RefSeq and is a predicted model, not a curated record.
CGUAGUAAUGUAAGAUCUUGAUUUCCUCAUCUGCAUAAGCCCCUUUAAUGCGUUGCUUUAUCAGUUCUGGUCAGGGUGGGGAGUGCUGCGUGUGUUGCAGGGCUGGAGCUCCAGCUUUGGGUGCUCACGUGUGGUGAGUCAGGCUGCAAACCGUUGCAGGUCCCCUCGGGAGGGACUGUGAUUUACAGUUUGGUGUUGGUUUCAGUUUUGGAGAUGGUAGCGUGGAUUUUCAUCAGUUUGAGGUUUUUCUCUUGGAUGCAUCAAGUCCAGAAGGUUACAAGUAAAAGCGCCCUCUAGAUUUUUAUGUCACAGCAUGAAUCCAGGAGCAGGCACUGAUAAAAACACUAAGUGUGACAGGCUCAUGCCAAAAUAUCCGAAACACUCUGGCCCAGCAUUCCUCAGCCAAGAAGCUGGAUAUGUAGAAUAUAUAGACUUCAUCUGGGUCAUUGCUGUGCUGGAAGAUGGGACAGCUGCCAGGUUUCUACAGUAGCUGCCGGAUAGUGGCUGAGUCUCAAGGUAGAGGAAAGCUCCUCCAUGCAGUGCUGUAUCGGCGAUCAAGAUGCAGCCCCACAAUCUCUGUGCUGCUUUGAAUGCAUCGCUCACAGCAAUCAGUUAUACUGGUUGAAUAAAUUCUUUAUUUCGGAUCUAGUUCUGAUGAAUGGCUCUGCCUGGUGCACAAAAGAGUCACAAGUGAAAUAUUGGAUCUCAGGGCUGUAUUCUGCCCUCUGAGGUGCUCCUGUGACCCCAUCCCAUUGCAUCUGCACAUGGAAGAGGAGAAAGGAGUCAGUAGCCUGCCCAUGGCAGCAUGGUCUAUUGAAAGGAAAGAGAGCUGUGUCUUGUAAAGUGCUGCUCUGCUAUAGUUCUGCAGGAAGCUUGAUCACUUUGGAUGACUUCUGAGACCAUGGACCACUUGAUUUUUUUGCAGGCUGUUACGUUAAUCUACAACAUUCACUUAGAAACUGGAGCAAAAUCUUCAAAAAAGGAAGAAGUGGACUGUCAGCAGCCAAACUCCUCCCAUAAGUGAAUUUUAAUCAUGGAAGGGAAAGAACAUCCUUGGAAUUGAAGAGCUACGUUCUGGGUACAUAAAGGACAGAAUUGUAUGUAUUAUUUUAUCAUCAUGUAUCUUUUAAUCUGGAAGAAUUUGUCUACAAACCUUUAGGAAUAAGAGAGUGCCUGGUUUUAUUCAGUAU